CGUAGGGACCGAGCGUUGUCCGGAUUCAUUGGGCGUAAAGAGCUCGUAGGCGGCUGCUCAAGUCGAAUGUGAAAACUCGAGGCUUAACCUCGAGCCUGCAUUCGAUACUGGGCGGCUAGAGUCUGGUAGGGGGAUCUGGAAUUCCUGGUGUAGCGGUGGAAUGCGCAGAUAUCAGGAGGAACACCGGUGGCGAAGGCGGGAUCCUGGGCCAGUACUGACGCUGAGGAGCGAAAGCGUGGGGAGCAAACAGGAUUAGAUACCCUGGUAGUCCACGCCGUAAACGAUGGGCGCUAGGUGUGGGAGGGUCAUCGACUCCUUCCGUGCCGCAGCUAACGCAUUAAGCGCCCCGCCUGGGGAGUACGGCCGCAAGGCUA
RNAcentral lists this ribosomal RNA (374 nucleotides) under uncultured organism. RNAcentral describes it as "bacterial SSU rRNA". It matches the Rfam family "Bacterial small subunit ribosomal RNA", at positions 526 to 896 of the family's 1533-position model. The record is from RNAcentral.